CACGCCGUAAACGAUGAGCACUAGGUGUCGGGGUCGCAAGACUUCGGUGCCGCAGUUAACGCAUUAAGUGCUCCGCCUGGGGAGUACGCACGCAAGUGUGAAACUCAAAGGAAUUGACGGGGACCCGCACAAGCAGCGGAGCAUGUGGUUUAAUUCGAAGCAACGCGAAGAACCUUACCAAGGCUUGACAUCCCUCUGACAGACCCAUAACGGGGUUCUUCUUCGGACAGAGGAGACAGGUGG
Molecule: ribosomal RNA, 243 nt
Filed under: uncultured Anaerovorax sp.
Lineage: Bacteria; Bacillati; Bacillota; Clostridia; Peptostreptococcales; Anaerovoracaceae
Description: partial 16S ribosomal RNA
Rfam family: Bacterial small subunit ribosomal RNA
Source: RNAcentral